Molecule: ribosomal RNA, 243 nt
Filed under: uncultured bacterium
Lineage: Bacteria
Description: partial 16S ribosomal RNA
Rfam family: Bacterial small subunit ribosomal RNA
Source: RNAcentral
ACUCCUACGGGAGGCAGCAGUGGGGAAUCUUAGACAAUGGGGGCAACCCGUGAUCUAGCCAUGCCGCGUGAGUGAUGAAGGCCUUAGGGUCGUAAAGCUCUUUCGCCAGGGAUGAUAAUGACAGUACCUGGUAAAGAAACCCCGCGUACAUCCGUGCCAGCAGCCGCGGUAAUACGGAGGGGGUUAGCGUUGUUCGGAAUUAUUGGGCGUAAAGCGCGCGUAGGCGGAUCAGAAAGUUGGGGU